Molecule: long non-coding RNA, 1679 nt
Filed under: Homo sapiens (human)
Lineage: Eukaryota; Metazoa; Chordata; Mammalia; Primates; Hominidae
Description: HSALNT0344402
Source: RNAcentral
AGAAAUAAAAUGUGCCAUGCACAGAACGCUUAGUAUCUAAUAACUAAGAAUUCCUGUUGCAGCCCUUUUUCUUUUAGUUUUUGGCUUCUUUGUUUGGGAAACCUAGCGCUGACAGGAGCUCCCAAUAUUCUAUUUAGAUGUGUUGCUUAUACUGUGAACUCAGACUGACUGACUUAGGUAACCAAAGUAGGCACACAAACCAACUUGUUUCUUCUCAUGGCUGGAGAAACCUCAGCUCUGUUUGUAUUUAUUGUGUGAAGCUCUUUCUACACUCCCAAAGGUUGGGAGUGCCAUUCGUGGGGACUGUGCUGUCCCCCUCACCCCACCCCUUAACUAGCAAAGCCUGAUGUGUAAGCCCAGAGGAGGUGGCCUGGGGAUGGCCACCAACAACCUUCUCUUAGGACUCCUGUGUGUGGUUGCUGGGCAGACCCCUGGCCUGACCCUGUUUGUGCUUCUCUGAUCUGUAGGGAGGAGGCUCAUUGCUGCUUUCUGAGGUCCUGUUGUGUCCCUUCCAGAAAGCAUCCUUAGAAGAGAGGACCCGGUUUGAUCUUCUCUGAAGCUCCUAUCCUCUUUUCUUGAGGGUCCCCUUAAAUCUGAGUGGCAAGCCCACAGUGGCGAGGGCCAGUCGCUGGAAUGUCGGGGCUGCUGUUGAGGUCCUCAGGCUACACUGGUUGUCUGUGUCACAUGGCGGUCGGGCGUGGACUUUGAUCCCUGUUGAGAGAGCAUGCUGCUGUGGGCGCUGGGCUGGGGAAGGUCCUUCCAUGCUUCAUGCUGCCUUGGAGGUUUGGCCAAGAGGGUCUCUGCCCUUGGCGGUUGUCAGGGUCCCAGGUGGAGGACUACUCCCAGUUCUUUGGCUUACGGAAGGUGUCUGCCAUGCUUUGUGCUUUGGGCCGAAUCGUCUGAGCAGGCUGGGCCUUGGAAGAGUUGCGCUGCAUGAGCUUGGGGCCUCCCAGCAGCUGCAGCCUGUGUAGAAGGUGGUCCAGGCUUAGGGAACAGGAGUGAACAGACUUCAGCCCCACCUGGCAGGGGCUGGCUCCCGAGGUUGGGCCCAGUCCCUGAGGGUCUGCUCUGCUACGGGUCUGCCCUUGAGUGGCCUUCCGUGGAGGGUGUGUGACCAGGUGGAUGGCGCAGGGCCUCUGGAGCCCUCUCCUCAGGAGCAGUCCUCAGCCUUUUUCUGUAAAAGACUUUUCUUUGGUGUUCUAGGUGGUCAGCAGGUUCCAGGCUGGUGUUUACAAUCUCGGAGGAAGUGCGAUGGUUUCUGUUCUUUUGACAGUUCAGUCUGAUUUCAAGUCAGUCGAAAGCGAACCAGAAGCACCGGGCACAGCAGCUCCUCUGGCUGUGUAGACAGACCUGGCAAUGUGGCCGUGCAGCCCAGACGAUCAGAGAGAAGCCAGGCGUUGACCAAGCCCCAAGGCAAGGAAAGGAAACCACUGCUUAGAGACACUAGGUACAGGGCAUCAAGAGGGUGCAGCCCAGCCCCGCCAGGACGAGGCGCCGACUUCUCAUUCAGGGUUGACGGAGCCAAGAGUUUGUGCAAAAUGUAUGCAUGGUGGUUGCUGCCAGCCUCCCUCAUGACUAAAUGCAUAUCUAUUCCUGUCAAAACGUGUAUCACAAUGUACUUGAAACUGUUAUCUUUGUGCUCUAUUGUUUGAAUAAUUAAAGAAAUUACAGAGACUCUC